GGUGUUUUCGUGGAGCACGUCCUGAACGUGUUCAGAGGAAGAACGCUUGCGCAUUAGAAUUUUGGCUGUUCGCGGUGAUGAAAAAUCCUCCUCUGAAUAAAAAGUUCUCUGUUCGCGGAGCGCAACAACUUGUCCUGAACGUAUUCGGAAUGCGUUCAACAAGUUCUGGGAUUAAAGAGAGGAUUUAUUGUCCGCACAUGUGCAGAAGUUGAUUUGACGAAUUUAUUUAUUUUGUUAAGAGAUUCGAGAUUGUAUUUCUAACCUAACAAGUUUAAAAUUUUGAAUUGUUGUGUUAUCAUACAAAUGUUGUAAAAGAUGAUGAACCUCAGUUCAAGUGAUGAAGAUUUGGAAGAGAUUGUAGGACUUUUAAAUGUUCCAAAAAAUGCAAAUUUUUUGAGGAAACUGUGCAACAAUUUAUUAACCAACAAUUUAUACAGAAUUUUAGAUUAAGUAGAGACUUAGCUGUAGAUUUGGCAAAUAAGUAUGAAAGAUCUCAUUUCCACAAUAUUAUGUAAAAUUACUUUUCCUGUUUUGGAGUGUUGUUUGUCCUAGCGUAGAUAAAGAUAAAAGAAUAAGGUUAGGCAAUUGGCAUAGGCAACCCAAAAAACAUCCGGAAAUUGUUCGUGCAGAAACUAUGGAGACCUACACAGAGAAGAGGAAUCGAGAUAGGACGACCUUGAAAUUUUUGUACACAAUUUUGCCUGUUUGCUUGGUUUCUCGCUAGGGCGGCGGUGGCGUAGAAAUAGAUGCUACUUUUGCAUUGGAGUGAAUGUGAAAAUUUCGAAAAUAAUUAAUUAUUCGUAGUUAAUAUAAGAUUAUUGGUUUUGGUGAUUAAUAUUACUUAAAUAUGAGUGCCAAGAAAGCUUACACUAAAAGAACUUGCUUCGUACCGGGAUUUAUAUCGAGUUAUCGUUCCGAUAAAAAAUUCAAAAGGGAACUUAACGAAGUUAAUAAAGACUUUUUAUAAAGA
Diabrotica virgifera virgifera (western corn rootworm) is the source of this 970-nucleotide long non-coding RNA. RefSeq lists it as uncharacterized. The transcript is spliced from 2 exons. NCBI's taxonomy places the organism in Eukaryota, Metazoa, Arthropoda, Insecta, Coleoptera, Chrysomelidae. The record is from RefSeq and is a predicted model, not a curated record.